Long non-coding RNA from Salvia splendens (bonfire salvia), 1804 nucleotides. RefSeq lists it as uncharacterized. The record is from RefSeq and is a predicted model, not a curated record. The transcript is spliced from 2 exons. NCBI's taxonomy places the organism in Eukaryota, Viridiplantae, Streptophyta, Magnoliopsida, Lamiales, Lamiaceae.
CCAGCAAAAAUGGCUAAUCUCGAGUUGAAGGAGAAUCGGAUCGAUCUCCUCCCUUUCGUGGUCGUCCUUCUCAUCGCCGCCCACGUCAUUGCAUUUGUGUACUGGUUUUACAAAUUAGCUACGGAUAGGGCAUCGAAGAAAACGAAGAAGCACUAGCGACUACAAAGGAGAAUCGGCGAAGGAAGUGAACAUUAUAUGUUUUCGUCAUUUACGUUUCUCGUUUGAUUAAUUUUCUGACAAUUGUUUCUUUUUUUAUCGAUAUAUUGUUCGUUUACUUAGUCUCAUCUAUGAAUUGGUUGUUCAAAGUUGUUAAAAAAAUCUAUGUGAAAUGAUUCCGAUUUGAGUAGUGCAUUUCCUUUGAUUUCGAUCCUACAGUCGAGCAAUAAAUAGGUUCUGUUACAGUGUGAUAUGCUACUUCACUCAGUCAUUACAACAAACAGUUUGUGGCGUCGGUCUCAGAGGGCUAUACUCGCCUCUCUUUGUCUGCAUUUAUGCGUAUAUGUUUUUACUUCGUGUAUAGAUGAGGAUUGCUAUGAUUUCUUUGGUACUUUCAAUUGGGAAAGCAGCUUAUCGUAGAGCAUUGUGUGCUAUUAAGGAUAUACAAUGCUGUGGAUAUACAAACUGGGUAUUGCUUGUUGAAGAUUCCGUAUAGUGCCCAGAUAAUCUUCCUCCGGGAAUAGCUUGUUUGCUGGGAGAUGAAAUUGGUGAAGUUGCAAAAGUUGCUUUACUCAUUCUGCAUGAGAAAAUGUUGGGGAAGAAGUCUGAGUGGGCGCCUUACAUCAGCCGCCUUCCUCUGCGAAAGGAUAUGCAUAGCUCGGUGUUCUGGAGUGAUGAAGAACUGGAUAUGAUUCGACAGAGUGCUCUGUAUGAAGAAACUCUCAAACAGAAGAAACAGAUUGGAUAAGAUUGUUUGGCUGUUAAGUUGGUUUUUGAUAACUUCCCCGAAUAUUUCAUGAUAUUAAGCUGCAGGAUUUCGCAUAUGCAUAUGGAUUAGUUACUUCUCGAGCAUGGGUGAGCUAUAGGGGCGUUUCCAUGAUUCCCUUUUCGGAUUUCUUGAAUCAUGACAGACACUUCAGAGGCGUAUAUUUUGAGUGAUGAAGGCAAGACAACAUUAGUGGUUAUAGCUGGCUGUGGUUUUGCUCUGGGUGAUGUGGUCCUGAUAAGAUAUGGAAAGUUUUCGAAUGCCACACUCAUUCUGGAUUUCGGUUUUGCUGUUUCUUGCAAUUGUUAUGAUCAAGUUCAUGUUGAGCUUAAUGUACCUCAACACGAUGCUCUCUAUACGCAGAAGUUGGAUAUUCUUGGCAGAGAUCGCACACCAAGGAUCAAGGAUGACAACGAGUUUGCUUACUAUGACAAGUGGGACAUGAGAAUUUCCCAAUCACUUCGUGCAUUUGCUCGUAUGAUUAGCAAGAACUAGAUGACUUGGCGAAGGAAGCUGCAGAGAAUGAUGGGAGGCUAGCUCCUCAGAAGCCAUUGAAGAACAAGAACAUAGAGCUAGCAGCCUAUCAGCUGUCGUUUGACGAAAGAUUACAUUGAACGCAUUGAGUUGUGGCUUCCAACUCCUCCCACUAUAAGCGAGAGGUGUGCUCUAAGACGGCGAUUAGCACUAUAUCUCCUGACUGGUGAACUACGAGUGCUGAAGUCUGCUUCGGCGUGGCUGGAGAGCUACUGUUCGACGUUAUGAAAGAUACAUUUUGCAUUCUACUCAAUACAAGGUAAAAACAAUACCAACUUUACAUAAUCUCAAUUGUUUAGUUUGUACUUGUCUCAUUCAUGAAGUGAUUGUGUCCGAAUUUUUGUCAAA